AAUGGAACUUAACGGUCGUUACGUAACUUCCUUUUAAAACAGGAGUUUAACGUAUUUUUUUAUUUGUUUGUUUGUUUGUUUGUUUAUUUGUCACCACCACUACUGUUUUCAGUUCUCCGUGUAUUCAAGCUUCUCCUUUUGCUCAUCCAGUGGGGUGCCGUCCAGCUGCAGCAGCGUGGGGGCGAUGCACACCGCCAGGUUGUAGGCGUCCAUCUUGUUGGUGUCAGCGCUCUCGACGAUGUGAUGGAGGACGCACACGAGAUGCUGCAGGAGGAGUUUGUUCGCCACCGGGAGCUGGUCUACCACCCUGAGGGGGGAAGGAAGAAAAGAAAGGAGAACAGGAAGAAGAGAGCUCUCUGCUGGGGGUCUUCAUUGUCCAGAGCUGUCAUCCAGGUGUCAUAAAGUUCAGAUGCCAGCAGGCUGCCAGGAAGAUCCUUCAGAAAGCUCUGCAACAAACAAGAGAGCUUGAUUAGGUGUAGCUGGCACUGGUGCUUACUUUGAGCAGCCCGACGAGCAGCACGACUGGUUGGCCCUCCAUGUCCACCUCCACGCCGCUGUUCAGCUGCUCCUUGAUGUCGUUCAUGUUCUUUCUGUUGCACGGCUUCCGAAACACUCCCUCUGUCGACGGCCCGUUCUUCCUCAGCAACACCAGCAUCUCCUGGUGAAGUGACGGGGAGCAAAGGGUAGAGGAGAAGAGGCGACCUGUCGGCAAAAUAACAGCAUGGUAUGAGUUACUAAUCCACAGAGAGAACCAAACAGGCCACGCAGAAACAGUAGGAGGAAUGAGUCGAAGAGACAACCCACAGUCUCUUUUAACAACUCUGGUGGAAAGUGUAACUCAGUCAUGGGAACAGGAAGCAGCGUCACGGCGGGCCCCAAGUCAGACACCUUCCACUUCCUCAUAGACUCGACUUCGCUGUGGUUUGGUGUCCAUCAGUGGAAACAUGACGACGACACAGAUACGUGAACCUGCACGCUCACCUGAAAGCCGGGGGGGGUCACGUUUUGAUAGCUUGACCUCAUUAAUGCCAGGCGGCUCGCGGUGCCACGGCACACGGUUUCUCGCAGGCUCCGGAAUCACCAUCAUUUGUGUGAGAAGGAAUGUGAAAGUUUCACACACUGAAUCAUUACUAGAGACGUAUCGUCCGAUCACAUGUCUCGUUUUCAAACAAAACAACUCAGAACCCGUCGGGGGAUUCAUCAUUUUGGUAGUCAAAAACAGCUUUAUGGUUUUAUUAAUUACUUUGCGAGAAACGUGGGAGUCCAUGAACAACACAAAUGACUGCAUUUCUCAACUGCAGUCAUUCAUAACCUUUAAUGAGGACAACAUGCCAUUUACUGAAGAGAUACAUGUACUUUCAUUCCUUUAAGUCGAGCAUAUUAAAAGGAAAAAAGAUCAAAACAGUGUUUCUCCUGUGGUUAAUUUUUAUUGUAAAGGCCAGUAUUUCCAGAUAGUCACUUGACAUGGAGUUUGGUUUGGCCGCCAGCUCCGCACUUCCUAUUUUGCAAUCCCUUGUGAUGCUGCAGGACGACUUUCUCUUUAGUACUUCCCUGUUUUCAUGUAGGUCACAAAUCAUAUGACCAUUUACUACAACUGAGAAUAUUUCAAGAACAGCCUCAAAUGUCAUUUGUCUUGUGACUGACAGAAAAGGACGGUCAAAACAGAACGUUUGUUUCAAAACAGCAAGUUUGUGUGUGUGCCUAUUUGUGUUACAUAAAACCAAUUUAACCUCAGGUAUCUUUAAAAUAAAUAGUUUCAAUGAGUUUAUUCUUUGUUAGGAACACUCUAGCCUCCAAAGAGUUCACUCAUCUUUCCGAGUUUUGGGAAACACAACAAUAACAAAAAUACCGAUGUAAAGAUCUGUAUGGUUAAUAUGAAGCUACAGCCAGUUAGCUUAGCUUGGCAAGACUCCAUUUACAUGUGCUGGCUCAGCUUAACUCAGUUUGACAAAUGUGUAAUCCUGCUGAUUAACCGACCGACUGACAAGCAGGCGCGGGUGAAAACAUGAUCUCCUUGAGGGAGAUAAUAAAGAAAGUGGUUCUCAGGAGGGAUCAACCUGGUUGACAAAUCAAUAGUUUCAAGUCUUGGUGCUGAGUUAACUAAUCAAAAUGUUUGUGUUUUAAUGUGUAAAAGUUUUUCCAACCAGCAUAAAAACAUAUCUCGAUGUUAAAAACCCACGUCAGUCCUGUCGACUCUGAUGUGAAAUAAACAAAUACUGACUACAGGAGCGCAGUUUCUAACCUUAGACCUAGCAAGAAGACAUCAAACUGAUGUUAAAAACACAAACAAUAGGAACAAAUGACUAACUCUGCCGACCGUAUCAGUGGUGAAUUUGAUUCUUAAAGUGGAUAGCUCUAUAUUUUGUUGGAGUAUCUGGAGCUGACAGUCCGUAGCUAUGUGAGAUGUUUGCGGUCUCUUGAAGGUAUAACGAUGACAGCUUUGACAGCAGGUCUUGCAGGUCUGUAUUGCACAGGAAGAAUGAAAAAUAGCACAUUUUAUAUUAAAAUUGAAUUAUUCUCACGCCUCAAGAUUUCAUCUUUUGUUCAAAUUGCCCAGCCCUAAGAAAAAAACAAUCAACCAAAAUCGUAUUUGAGGUGAUGUCCCCUCCUCUUCACAUCCGGUGAAAGCAGGUUCACUGUGCCACAGAUAUUCAUGGGUACUCACGCACACAUACGAUUGUCCUUGAGCAUGUUUAUUCAGGCCCAUGCAACAGAAACCUUAAUGUGCUGUUGUUUGUAUGCAAGUCAUCGCCUGUGAGUCCAGUGUGCG
Molecule: long non-coding RNA, 2770 nt
Organism: Acanthopagrus latus (yellowfin seabream)
Lineage: Eukaryota; Metazoa; Chordata; Actinopteri; Spariformes; Sparidae
Exons: 5
Source: RefSeq, a predicted model, not a curated record